This 1120-nucleotide long non-coding RNA is filed under the name Cairina moschata (Muscovy duck). RNAcentral describes it as "domestica (muscovy Duck (domestic type)) lncRNA (ENSCMMG00000015075.1)". Lineage: Eukaryota; Metazoa; Chordata; Aves; Anseriformes; Anatidae. The record is from RNAcentral.
AUGCGAGCACAGCACGGCGCUGCUUCCACGCAGACAGACAUUUUAUUUCAUUCCGUGCACACACCUCUCCCAGCCGGGCCCCGAAACCACAGCAGGAAGGGCGACACCCCCGAUCGGAGAGUGAGGCAGCCCCCAAAACUCAACGGGGACUUGGCUCAGCGCCCUGGGUUCCUCCCCAAAAUCCUCCCGGCCUGGGCACGGCCCCUCGGCAGCCCCUACACUCGCUCAGGGCCGGAAGGAUUAAGACCAGGGGCGUGUAGGGGACAAAAGCCCCGUUACUGGGCGUUGCUUUGCCACCGCUGCCACUCCCGGAGCGCAGCACGGCCUCCCCACGAGCCCAGCUGGGAUUUGGGGCUGGGAAGGGAGAAUCGCCUCCCGGCAGCUGCUCCCAGCUUCUGCGUGCGAGGGCUACGUCCACACGUGCUUCACCACCGCCCGGCUCAUUGCUCGACACCCACAGCCAGGCACCACCUCGAGGCACUCCAAAGCUGCCCCCAGCCCCCAAACCUUCACCCAAACCUCAGGCACUUCCAGGCUGCUGCCCGUGGAGCCCAGGACCUUGACUCAGUAGGGUUGGAGAAGGCCUCCAAGACCACCUGGUCCAAAUGUCUCCCUGCCACCACCACCAUCACCACCAACAGAAUCAUCGAGCCACUGAGGUUGGAAGAAGAUCUCCAAGACCACCUGGUCCAACCACCUGGUCUACCACCACCGUCACCCGCUGACAGACUCACUGAGGUUGGAGAAGGCCUCCAAGACCACCUGGGGCAACUGCCCCUGUACGACACCACCACCACUAACAGACUGAUGGAGGUAGGAGAGCACCUCCAGGACCACCUGGCCAUCCAUCCCCACACCACCAAUACCACCGCUAUCAGAACCACGGAACCAUUGAGCUUGGAGAAGACCUGCACAACCACCACCCUCACCACAGGCUCAUGGAGGUUGAAGAACACCUCCGGGACCACCCGGCCCAUCCAUCCCCGUACCACCACCACCACCACCACGAACAACCGCAGACCUAUUGAGGUAGGAGAACACCUCCAGGACCACCUGGCCACCCAUCCCCGUACCACCACCACCACCAGCAGAAUCACGGAACCACUGAUUUGGGAGCACA